GGUGACUGAUUUUAGUGUCAUUC
Molecule: small nuclear RNA, 23 nt
Filed under: Arabidopsis thaliana (thale cress)
Lineage: Eukaryota; Viridiplantae; Streptophyta; Magnoliopsida; Brassicales; Brassicaceae
Description: snRNA_12807
Source: RNAcentral